This 756-nucleotide ribosomal RNA is filed under the name uncultured Lactobacillus sp. RNAcentral describes it as "bacterial SSU rRNA". It matches the Rfam family "Bacterial small subunit ribosomal RNA", at positions 739 to 1502 of the family's 1533-position model. Lineage: Bacteria; Bacillati; Bacillota; Bacilli; Lactobacillales; Lactobacillaceae. The record is from RNAcentral.
ACUGACGCUGAGGCUCGAAAGUAUGGGUAGCAACAGGAUAGAUACCUGUAGUCCAUACCGUAAACGAUGAAUGCUAAGUGUGGAGGGUUCCGCCUUCAGUGCUGCAGCUAACGCAUUAAGCAUUCCGCCUGGGGAGUACGGCCGCAAGGCUGAAACUCAAAGGAAUUGACGGGGGCCCGCACAAGCGGUGGAGCAUGUGGUUUAAUUCGAAGCUACGCGAAGAACCUUACCAGGUCUUGACAUACUAUGCAAAUCUAAGAGAUUAGACGUUCCCUUCGGGGACAUGGAUACAGGUGGUGCAUGGUUGUCGUCAGCUCGUGUCGUGAGAUGUUGGGUUAAGUCCCGCAACGAGCGCAACCCUUAUUAUCAGUUGCCAGCAUUAAGUUGGGCACUCUGGUGAGACUGCCGGUGACAAACCGGAGGAAGGUGGGGAUGACGUCAAAUCAUCAUGCCCCUUAUGACCUGGGCUACACACGUGCUACAAUGGAUGGUACAACGAGUUGCGAACUCGCGAGAGUAAGCUAAUCUCUUAAAGCCAUUCUCAGUUCGGAUUGUAGGCUGCAACCCGCCUACAUGAAGUCGGAAUCGCUAGUAAUCGCGGAUCAGCAUGCCGCGGUGAGUACGUUCCCGGGUCUUGUACACACCGCCCGUCACACCAUGGGAGUUUGUAAUGCCCAAAGCCGGUGGCCUAACCUUUAGGAAGGAGCCGUCUAAGGCAGGACAGAUGACUGGGGUGAAGUCGUAACAAGGUAACCA